AGUGAACGCUGGCGGUAGGCCUAACACAUGCAAGUCGAACGGCAGCACAGUAAGAGCUUGCUCUUACGGGUGGCGAGUGGCGGACGGGUGAGGAAUACAUCGGAAUCUACUUUUUCGUGGGGGAUAACGUAGGGAAACUUACGCUAAUACCGCAUACGACCUACGGGUGAAAGCAGGGGAUCUUCGGACCUUGCGCGAUUGAAUGAGCCGAUGUCGGAUUAGCUAGUUGGCGGGGUAAAGGCCCACCAAGGCGACGAUCCGUAGCUGGUCUGAGAGGAUGAUAGGCCCCACUGGAACUGAGACACGGCCCAGAUCCCUACGGGAGGCAGAAGUGGGGAAUAUUGGACAAGGGGCGCAAGCCUGAUCCAGCCAUACCGCGUGGGUGAAGAAGGCCUUCGGGUUGUAAAGCCCUUUUGUUGGGAAAGAAAAGCAGCAGGUUAAUACCCCGCUGUUCUGACGGUACCCAAAGAAUAGACACCGGCAAACUUCGG
This 491-nucleotide ribosomal RNA is filed under the name uncultured bacterium. RNAcentral's name for it is "partial 16S ribosomal RNA". It matches the Rfam family "Bacterial small subunit ribosomal RNA", at positions 29 to 506 of the family's 1533-position model. The record is from RNAcentral.